RNAcentral lists this ribosomal RNA (247 nucleotides) under uncultured bacterium. RNAcentral's name for it is "partial 16S ribosomal RNA". It matches the Rfam family "Bacterial small subunit ribosomal RNA", at positions 86 to 334 of the family's 1533-position model. The record is from RNAcentral.
AGAUGGCGACCGGCGCACGGGUGAGUAACACGUAUCCAACCUGCCGAUAACUCGGGGAUAGCCUUUCGAAAGAAAGAUUAAUACCCGAUGGUAUAAUCAGACCGCAUGGUCUUGUUGUUAAAGAAUUUCGGUUAUCGAUGGGGAUGCGUUCCAUUAGGCAGUUGGUGAGGUAACGGCUCACCAAACCUUCGAUGGAUAGGGGUUCUGAGAGGAAGGUCCCCCACAUUGGAACUGAGACACGGUCCAA